This 156-nucleotide ribosomal RNA is filed under the name Euphorbia akenocarpa. RNAcentral describes it as "5.8S ribosomal RNA". It matches the Rfam family "5.8S ribosomal RNA". From Rfam's summary of the family: 5.8S ribosomal RNA (5.8S rRNA) is a component of the large subunit of the eukaryotic ribosome. It is transcribed by RNA polymerase I as part of the 45S precursor that also contains 18S and 28S rRNA. Functionally, it is thought that 5.8S rRNA may be involved in ribosome translocation. Lineage: Eukaryota; Viridiplantae; Streptophyta; Magnoliopsida; Malpighiales; Euphorbiaceae. The record is from RNAcentral.
AACGACUCUCGGCAACGGAUAUCUCGGCUCUCGCAUCGAUGAAGAACGCAGCGAAAUGCGAUACUUGGUGUGAAUUGCAGGAUCCCGCGAACCAUCGAGUCUUUGAACGCAAGUUGCGCCCRAAGCCUUUUGGCCGAGGGCACGUCUGCCUGGGUG